AGACGGAGGGGGCUAGCGUUGUUCGGAAUUACUGGGCGUAAAGCGCGCGUAGGCGGUGGUUCAAGUUGGGCGCGAAAGGCCUGGGCUCAACCCGGGAACUGCGCUUAAUACUGGUAGACUUGAGUCCGGGAGAGGGUGGCGGAAUUCCCAGUGUAGAGGUGAAAUUCGUAGAUAUUGGGAAGAACACCAGUGGCGAAGGCGGCCACCUGGCCCGGUACUGACGCUGAGGUGCGAAAGCGUGGGGAGCAAACAGGAUUAGAAACCCCGGUAGUCC
RNAcentral lists this ribosomal RNA (274 nucleotides) under uncultured bacterium. RNAcentral describes it as "partial 16S ribosomal RNA". It matches the Rfam family "Bacterial small subunit ribosomal RNA", at positions 523 to 796 of the family's 1533-position model. The record is from RNAcentral.